GGAAAACUCGAGAGUAAAUCCCACUCUUACACAUUGUUUAAGCCACCCACUAAAGCAAUACAUCCUCUAAAACCUAAAGGGAAACCCAAGAGUAAAUUCCACUCUCAUUAUUGUUUAAACUACCCCACUGAAGUAAUACAUCCUUUAAAACCUAGAGAAAAAAAUAUCCCAAGACUAAAUCCCACUCUCAAACCGAAGCUUAAAUAUUUCCUGGAGCAAAUACCGUUACUAUCCCUCUCCUGAGCUCUCCCUUAGCUCCUGAGGUUUCUAUCCUUAAAUUAAAGAAUUUCCUCAUAACUAUAACCAAGGAAAACUGGUUUAAGCUUUAAUAUUUCCCU
Molecule: unclassified non-coding RNA, 338 nt
Filed under: Hevea brasiliensis (rubber tree)
Lineage: Eukaryota; Viridiplantae; Streptophyta; Magnoliopsida; Malpighiales; Euphorbiaceae
Source: RNAcentral